GUGAGGAAUAUUGGACAAUGGGCGCAAGCCUGAUCCAGCGACGCCGCGUGAGUGAUGAAGGCCUUUGGGUCGUAAAGCUCUGUCAGCAGGGAAGAAAUGCUGAGUAGUUAAUAUCUGCUCAGUUUGACGGUACCUGCAGAGGAAGCACCGGCUAACUCCGUGCCAGCAGCCGCGGUAAUACGGAGGGUGCGAGCGUUAAUCGGAAUUACUGGGCGUAAAGGGCGCGUAGGCGGCCGAUCAAGUCAGAUGUGAAAGCCCGUGGCUUAACCAUGCGAAGUGCAUCUGAAACUGGUUGGCUUGAGUAUCGGAGGGGAAAGUGGAAUUCCCGGUGUAGAGGUGAAAUUCGUAGAUAUCGGGAGGAAUACCGGUGGCGAAGGCGACUUUCUGGACGAAUACUGACGCUGAGGCGCGAAAGCGUGGGGAGCAAACAGGAUUAGAAACCCCAGUAGUCC
This 452-nucleotide ribosomal RNA is filed under the name uncultured bacterium. RNAcentral's name for it is "bacterial SSU rRNA". It matches the Rfam family "Bacterial small subunit ribosomal RNA", at positions 354 to 796 of the family's 1533-position model. The record is from RNAcentral.